This 491-nucleotide ribosomal RNA is filed under the name uncultured bacterium. Its description in RNAcentral is "partial 16S ribosomal RNA". It matches the Rfam family "Bacterial small subunit ribosomal RNA", at positions 38 to 507 of the family's 1533-position model. The record is from RNAcentral.
GGGGGGGGGGGGGGGGGGGGGGGGGGGGGGGGGGGGGGGGGGAGGGGGGUGGGGGGUGGCGCUUGCGGGUGGCGGGUGGCGGGCGGGUGAGGGAUACGUCGGACUCUACUUUUUCGUGGGGGAUACCGUAGGGAAACUUACGCUAAUACCGCAUACGACCUACGGGUGAAAGCAGGGGAUCUUCGGACCUUGCGCGAUUGAAUGAGCCGAUGUCGGAUUAGCUAGUUGGCGGGGUAAAGGCCCACCAAGGCGACGAUCCGUAGCUGAUCUGAGAGGAUGAUCGGCCACACUGGAACUGAGACACGGUCCAGACUCCUACGGGAGGCAGCAGUGGGGAAUAUUGGACAAUGGGCGCAAGCCUGAUGCAGCCAUGCCGCGUGGGUGAAGAAGGCCUUCGGGUCGUAAAGCCCUUUUGUUGGGAAAGAAAAGCAGCAGGUUAAAACGCGGCUGUUCUGACGGUACCCAAAGAGAAAGCAACGGCUAACUUCGUG